AUUAUUGACAACAAACAUGUCUUGUACAGUUUCUCACUGUAAAAAUUGUCAACGAUUUCGUUCAGAAGGUGUAUCUUUUCAUCAGUUUCCGAAAGAUCGAAAACUUUUAAAAAAGUGGCUGAUUGUUGUGAAAAAAGAUGACAGCUUCAAACUGACUAAGUAUAAGCUGGUGUGCUCAGAUCAUUUCACAACAACUGAUUUCAUUGUUGUAAAUGAGUGAAAACGAUUGAAAUCGAACGCAAUUCCCAGUGUGAAUUUAGAUGAAAGUCUAGAAGCUUCUUCAACUUCAAUGAGUACUGUGAGUGCUACUUCAGCUGAUAUUUGAGAAGAGUCUCCAUCGAUUAUACCUCAAGGUGUAAAGAGGACAUUAAGUGCUGCGCAGAGAUACCAUGGAAAAAGCAGUAGCAGUACAAGUGGAAGUAAAAGCAAGAACUCAAAAAGUAGUUCUGACAGUAGGGAAGGUGAUAAGCUGGCGUUACAUAAAGAAACUACAUGAAUUACAAAAUGAUGAAUUCCUAAAUGUUGCAAAUAAGUUGAAAAAGGCACAUUUGGAGUGAUGGAAACAUAAAAUGAAAGUGAGUUUAGCAGCACAAACUCUUAGCAAGAGUUGCGGAUGCACUUGAAUUUUUAAAACAUCUUGGUAUUAGUGACUUUCAAGGUUGUGAAACAACAAUAGAAUUCAUCAGAAGGAUAGAUUCUUUAUUUGAUAUUCUCAAUUCCUGAAGUGUACGUGCUAGAAUUUUAAGGCACCUUUGAGAGAAAACAAUGAAGAAAUGUGGCGUCCAUUUCUCAUCGACACCAGUGAGUAUCUUCUGAAUUUGAAGGAUGUCACUGGCGGGCCUUUGUGGUGCACGCCCCGAAAAACGUCAAUUCUGGGCUUUGUUAUUUCCGCUACGUCGUUCAUGGGAAUUUUUGAUGAAUUUGUUAGUAGUAAGAGGUUGAAUGACUUGCUAACAUAAAUGUAGUCAAGAUCAUCUAGAAAUUUUCUUCUGCUCAGUGCGGUAAGCUUUUAAAAAAACAAUUGUAUUACUUUUUUAUGCACUGGAAUUACACAAAUCUGUAUUUAUUUUUCUGUUUUCAGAUCGAGAAAUGGGUGAAACAAUAACCCUACUCCUCUACGAUUUUGUAAAACUUAGAAGAUUGCUUCUAUUUACAAACAUAACGAGGGAAGGAGGAAAUUGUAAAGUGCUUUGCACCACCUGUCUGCUCUCUGUUAGCAUUGGCCCAAAGCAAAAGAGCACAAAUGUUCAACAAUCAGUUGACGUGUUUGUCUUGAAAAAAUAUGAUCUCGAUAUUUUGACUGAAGCACUUGCAGAUCAUGACUAUGAACGUCUAAUUUUAUUGGGCAGAGUGAAGUGGCAGAAAACGUGGCAUAUAUUGGUAGCUAUGUUGUCAAAAUGCUGGUGAAGACGUUUAAGUGCGCAGACUGCAUUUCUUCUUGCAUUGAAACACGAGGAAGUGACUUACAGUUUUACAGAUUAUUGGACAAAAAAAACAUGGGUGGGCUUAUUAAACCUUUUGCUGGGGUUGUGAAGACUUGUUGUUACUGUUAAUACGAAAAAUUUUGCAACUCACCGAUAAACUUCCAAG
Molecule: long non-coding RNA, 1590 nt
Organism: Zophobas morio
Lineage: Eukaryota; Metazoa; Arthropoda; Insecta; Coleoptera; Tenebrionidae
Exons: 5
Source: RefSeq, a predicted model, not a curated record